CUGCAUGUAGAACUGUCUCUCCUUCAUUUCUUUAGGAACAGGAAUAUAUCCACGACAUGCUGCAUUAAAAGAGUUCUCAGGGCUGCCAUCUUAUAGUAGAUGUUGAGUAGUGGUAGUAUACUUCUCUUACAUAA
Molecule: small nucleolar RNA, 134 nt
Organism: Pteropus vampyrus (large flying fox)
Lineage: Eukaryota; Metazoa; Chordata; Mammalia; Chiroptera; Pteropodidae
Source: Ensembl